Molecule: long non-coding RNA, 374 nt
Organism: Rattus rattus (black rat)
Lineage: Eukaryota; Metazoa; Chordata; Mammalia; Rodentia; Muridae
Exons: 4
Source: RefSeq, a predicted model, not a curated record
UCUCACACUUAACCACAAGCAAAAACCCGACUGCGAGAGUAAAGGAUGGAAGCAUUCAGGGGUCACCACCACUACCAUGACAAGAUGUGCCGCACAGCUGGACAUUGGAUUAACAGCUAAGAAGAGAAGUGGUCACCCUUCAAGUGGAUGCAAGCUGAGAAUGGAGUGCCUGUGCUUUUUAACCAAGCCAAAGUCCCAGGGGUCACCAGAAAGCACCUGACUUUCAUGGAUACUUGUUGGACAAACCUGAAAUUGCUGGGAUGAAUUCAAGAGGCCUCCAAAGCAGGAGAGAAAGGAGUUCCUGAAUCAGUUCCCACCAAGGGCUCCAGUAUGUGGGAAGGCAGUACUCUCCAUUCUUUAGGAGAGCCAUCAAG